AAGUCGUAACAAGGUUUCCGUAGGUGAACCUGCGGAAGGAUCAUUUUAAAGAUUUUAUUUCAUUUUUGUGAAACAUAACAUUAUUAUUCCAGCAUUGAAACUUUUUAUUUAUAAGAAAAAAAGAAAACUUUCAACAAUGGAUCUCUUGGUUCUU
Molecule: unclassified non-coding RNA, 154 nt
Filed under: fungal sp.
Lineage: Eukaryota; Fungi
Description: partial internal transcribed spacer region
Rfam family: Eukaryotic small subunit ribosomal RNA (bases 1-46)
Source: RNAcentral